GUUCAUUUCUGAACAUAUGCUAAAACUGGAACAAUACAGAAGAGAUUAGCAUGGCCCCUGCACAAGGAUGACACGCAAAUUCGUGAAGAGUUCCAAAAUUUU
This 102-nucleotide small nuclear RNA is filed under the name Ancylostoma duodenale. The record is from RNAcentral. Lineage: Eukaryota; Metazoa; Nematoda; Chromadorea; Rhabditida; Ancylostomatidae.